CAAUAGCGUAUAUUAAAGUUGUUGCAGUUAAAAAGCUCGUGUUGGAUUUCUGGUCGGAAGCUCCUGUCCUCUGAUGAGCGUACAAGUGCGUCCUACCAUCCUUCUGUUAACCUUUAAGGCUUUCGCGGCUUUCUAGGGGCUCAGAUAUUUUACCUUGAGAAAAUUAGAGUGUUUCAGGCAGGCUAGCGCCGGAAUACAUUAGCAUGGAAUAAUGGAAUAGGACUUUUGCCUCUUCUGUUGGUCAUGAGGCUCGAGUAAUGAUUAAUAGGGAUAGUUGGGGGCAUUAGUACUUAACUGUCAGAGGUGAAAUUCUCGGAUUUGUUAAAGACUAACUUAUGCGAAAGCAUUUGCCAAGGAUGUUUUCAUUA
Molecule: ribosomal RNA, 368 nt
Filed under: uncultured eukaryote
Lineage: Eukaryota
Description: partial 18S ribosomal RNA
Rfam family: Eukaryotic small subunit ribosomal RNA
Source: RNAcentral